This 789-nucleotide non-coding RNA is filed under the name Aedes notoscriptus. Lineage: Eukaryota; Metazoa; Arthropoda; Insecta; Diptera; Culicidae. The record is from RNAcentral.
UUAUUUUAUUUUAGUUAAUAUUUUUAUUUUUAUUUUAUUUUACAUGUAAAUUUUUGUGUGAAUUAAUUUAAUUUUUAAAAAAUUAAAUUUAUUUAAUUUAUUCGCAGUAAUUAAUAUUAAUUAAAAAAGAAAUUUUGUAUUAGUAAUAAUAUAUAAUAUUGGUAAAAUUUGUGCCAGCUACCGCGGUUAUACAAAUAAUGUAAAUAAAAAUUUUUAGUAUUAGUUAAAUUGUAAAAAUUUUUAUAAUAUAAAUAUAAAUUUAUUAGGUGAAAUUUUUAAAUUUGUUUAUUUAUUAUUUAAAAAAUAAUUUAAGCUAUAAACUUUUUAUAAUAAACUAGGAUUAGAUACCCUAUUAUUAAAAAUAAAAAUUUAAAUAUUAAAGUAGUAUUAGUUAUAUUCUUAAAAUUUAAAAAAUUUGGCGGUGUUUUAGUCUAUUUAGAGGAAUUUGUCCUAUAAUUGAUAAUCCACAUUGAACCUUACUUAAAUUGGUUAAAUUUGUAUAUCGUCGUCAUCAGAAUAUGUUAAAAGAUUAAAUUUUCUUAAUAUUUUAUUAAAUAAAAUGUCAGAUCAAGGUGCAGUUUAUAUUUAAGUAGAGAUGGAUUACAAUAAAAUUUAUUUAAACGAAUAAUUUUUUGAAAUAAAAAUUUGAAGGUGGAUUUAAUAGUAAUAUAAAAUAGAUUAUUUAUAUGAUUAUAGCUCUAAAACAUGUACAUAUCGCCCAUCGUUCUUAUUUUUAAAAUAAGAUAAGUUGUAACAUAGUAGAUGUACUGGAAAGUGUAUCUAGAAAGA